This 240-nucleotide unclassified non-coding RNA is filed under the name soil metagenome. RNAcentral's name for it is "partial contains 5.8S ribosomal RNA, internal transcribed spacer 2, and large subunit ribosomal RNA". The record is from RNAcentral.
AACCAUAGAAACCUGCGGAGUACCUGCGGAGGGAUCAUUACAGAGUUGCAAAACUCCCUAAACCAUUGUGAACGUUACCUAACCGUUGCUUCGGCGGGCGGCCCGGGUCCUUCCCGGCGCCCCUCGGCCCUCGCGGGCGCCCGCCGGAGGUAAACCAAACUAUUGCAUUGUAUGGCCUCUCUGAGUCUUCUGUACUGAAUAAGUCAAAACUUUCAACAAUGGAUCUCAGAUCGGAAGAGC